Molecule: ribosomal RNA, 1017 nt
Filed under: uncultured bacterium
Lineage: Bacteria
Description: bacterial SSU rRNA
Rfam family: Bacterial small subunit ribosomal RNA
Source: RNAcentral
UGAGGAAUAUUGGUCAAUGGACGCGAGUCUGAACCAGCCAAGUAGCGUGAAGGAUGACUGCCCUAUGGGUUGUAAACUUCUUUUAUAUGGGAAUAAAGUGGUCCACGUGUGGACUUUUGUAUGUACCAUAUGAAUAAGGAUCGGCUAACUCCGUGCCAGCAGCCGCGGUAAUACGGAGGAUCCGAGCGUUAUCCGGAUUUAUUGGGUUUAAAGGGAGCGUAGGCGGAUUGUUAAGUCAGUUGUGAAAGUUUGCGGCUCAACCGUAAAAUUGCAGUUGAUACUGGCAGUCUUGAGUGCAGUAGAGGUGGGCGGAAUUCGUGGUGUAGCGGUGAAAUGCUUAGAUAUCACGAAGAACUCCGAUUGCGAAGGCAGCUCACUGGAGUGUAACUGACGCUGAUGCUCGAAAGUGUGGGUAUCAAACAGGAUUAGAUACCCUGGUAGUCCACACAGUAAACGAUGAAUACUCGCUGUUUGCGAUAUACAGUAAGCGGCCAAGCGAAAGCAUUAAGUAUUCCACCUGGGGAGUACGCCGGCAACGGUGAAACUCAAAGGAAUUGACGGGGGCCCGCACAAGCGGAGGAACAUGUGGUUUAAUUCGAUGAUACGCGAGGAACCUUACCCGGGCUUAAAUUGCAAAUGAAUUAUGGGGAAACCCAUACGCCGCAAGGCAUUUGUGAAGGUGCUGCAUGGUUGUCGUCAGCUCGUGCCGUGAGGUGUCGGCUUAAGUGCCAUAACGAGCGCAACCCUUGUUGUCAGUUACUAACAGGUUUUGCUGAGGACUCUGACAAGACUGCCAUCGUAAGAUGUGAGGAAGGUGGGGAUGACGUCAAAUCAGCACGGCCCUUACGUCCGGGGCUACACACGUGUUACAAUGGGGGGUACAGAGGGCCGCUACCACGCGAGUGGAUGCCAAUCCCCAAAACCUCUCUCAGUUCGGACUGGAGUCUGCAACCCGACUCCACGAAGCUGGAUUCGCUAGUAAUCGCGCAUCAGCCACGGCGCGGUGAAUACGUUCCC